GUCAGAGACUAGAUGUUCUCAGAUCAGAGCGAUAAAAGAUGCACACCAGCUGCAUUUCUGGGGAUUUCUAAACCACAGACAUAAGCAAAACAGUGUGCUCUAUGUGCAUGAAGAUACAACUGUUAGAGAAGAGCACAGUAGGGUCAGCAGGAAACAAAUGCGUCUUUGAUUGGGGCAACUAGUGUUUGUCAGUUGGUGUGUUUGUGCCGCUCUCUCCUCACUACUCAAUGAUUACUGCUGAAUAUAUAAAUAUGAACUUUUCACAGUUCCAAGUUUUUAGUUUCAGACAGAUUAAUCAAUUGUUUUUUGUAGCAACUCAAAUAGUUAAAUUCAUUUUAUUUUGUAGAGCCCAAAAUCGCAUAUUUGUCUACACAUGCAGCAUCCUCUGUCCCGAAACCCUCACAUCGGCACAGGGAAAACUCCCCAUAAAACCCUUCAAGGAUGGACACACUGUAAUGGAUGUCAUGUGUACAUAAUGAACAAUGUAAAAGAUUUACAAUACAUUCAAUUCCUAAAACAGAAACGUUGUGAGUAGUAAGCCAGACAGGACCACUGCAGGGACAAACCCCAUCAGACAGAACCGCCAGAGGCCUGUGGGGAGGGACAGCACAAAGACCUCAGGGAAGAAGCAAAGUGUGACCCCCAGCAGCAGGCCUCCCUCUGCCCUGCCCCCCCCGGCCCCCCUCUGCCUCCUCCUGGCUGCAGCUCUGGCUCUGCUGGCCGGUCUGAUCUGGCUCAUCGUGGAGCCGGCGUAUCACUGCAGCAGCAGGGCGCCUCGGGGCUUCCACCUGGCUCUAAGGUACGUCAACGGACCCCCGCCUACAUGAAGACCACCCUGAGACCCUCAUGACCGCCGAAAAGUCAUUCAUUCUCAAAAGAAAAGGACUCCUAACAUCAUAGCAUUAGAGAUGUGGAGAGAUGAAGCCAAUAGUCGUAGCCAGAAAGCCUCUGUGCCUUGCAUUACCAAAAAUAUUUAAUGAAGCAGAAAAUAAUUGUUGUAUUAGAAGAUGGGUUGGCUUGCUUGCACAGGUUCCAAUUUCAACUGCUGUCUGUGAUAUUGUAACACUUUGUUUGAUGAUUUAUGUCCAAAUUAUGAAGAAUGUCCUACGUGAUUUCAAUCACUGGCUGCCUUGUUACACUGACAGCACUUGUAUUUAUAAUUCAUCAAGAUGUUUUGCAAAAUGACAAAAUGGAAUUAUUAUUUUUUUUUUUAAUGCAUCCAUCACCUAUUUAUACAUCACUUUUGGCCUUUUCUCAGACAAACAAAAGUGUGUAUGAACUAUGUUUUCUCUUUUUCCAGGCUGCUUUUGUUUUCAAUUAAUUGCUUGAAGACUUAAACAGUCAGCGGAAAAAUGAUCCCUUAAUGUCAAGACAAAUAUCUAUUUAUUGAAGCCAAACUGCUCAUUUGACAUUUUUCUGUACAACUUCCCCACAGAUAAUUUCACUGUGACCAAAAUAAAAGCAUGAUGAAUUAUUUCCAGCAAUAGUUUCCCCCCCUCAAAGACACAGAAGCCAUUUUGUAUUUACUAUCGCUGUGAGAUUUUGACUAAUUUAUAAAGGAAAGAAUGUGAGCAGUUCUUGAGUCCUUGAGAAGAAACUUUGACAUGUGUAAAUCCCACCAAUGUCAACAUCAGCGAACGACGAGGGCAAAUGAAGACAAUAAUGCAGAAACACACACACACACUGCAGUACACAGGGAUCACAGGCAGUGAAACACAAACAUGACGGUACACAGUUUGACUUGUUCGACGGCCGUGAUGCCGGACGCUGCUGCCUGGUGUAGCAUGUGGGGUCAGGGAGGACGGGAGAGUUUCAGGUAGCCAUUAUGUCCCAGAUGUGUGGAAAACAGCGGUUUGUGAAUUGAGCUUUGCUUUGGACAGCGAGCGCCUCCCCACCGUGAGUCUAAGCCGGUUGUCUUUUUGUCAUUUUAUCCAUGGACAUUUCUUCUUUUUAGGAUGACACGGUUGUUGAGUCGAUUCUCUUGUUUGUUGGAGCAGCUUCAUACAACUCAAAUGUCUCAGGGGAAAACGUCUGCCCAGGUUUCCUAAAAGGUUUCAUUUCAAGAGGAUGACAUUACCGUCCAAUUUUGUGUCAGUGGCUGCAGGAUGAUGAAGACGUUGUGUGUUUGGCAAAAUCAUAGAAAAGAGAACUUCUAAGUCUAGAAAGAUUGAACUUUUAGUUUGUCAUUGUUUCAGAAACCGAUAUUGCAUCAAGUCAAAUGUUUAUGCUUUUGUACAUGUAUUUCAAUAUGACCAAUAAAAG
Molecule: long non-coding RNA, 2262 nt
Organism: Gasterosteus aculeatus aculeatus (three-spined stickleback)
Lineage: Eukaryota; Metazoa; Chordata; Actinopteri; Perciformes; Gasterosteidae
Source: Ensembl